RNAcentral lists this transfer RNA (65 nucleotides) under Nipponnemertes punctatula. RNAcentral's name for it is "tRNA-His". The record is from RNAcentral. Lineage: Eukaryota; Metazoa; Nemertea; Enopla; Monostilifera; Cratenemertidae.
GUAUAAAUAGUUUAUAAAAAAUGUAGGAUUGUGGUGCCUGAGAAGUAUUAAAAAUACUUUGUAUA